Molecule: long non-coding RNA, 1157 nt
Organism: Cyprinus carpio (common carp)
Lineage: Eukaryota; Metazoa; Chordata; Actinopteri; Cypriniformes; Cyprinidae
Source: Ensembl
GGGGACCCGAGUUUUUCCGCACCUCCCGCGGAAAUGAACGAGGUUGCUCCGCAGGCUCAGUACAGCUGGGGAGAGUUAAUGGACGAGAUAUCUCCGGAACUUCCUAACCUCUUUGAAUCACACCCUUUGGCAGGGGACAAAGAGGAGGAGGAUGAAGAUGAUGAGACGAUUGCCCGUCUCUUAAAGGAGGAUUUGGAGGAUGAUGAAGAGGACGUUAUCCUCCCUCCUAAUCUUUCUUCCAGGCCUGGCAGUGCGAUCAGUGAGUCCCCCUCCCCCAUGCCAGGGGAAUUGGACCUUACUGAAAUGUGUAGAAGAGCGACUGCUAAACUCUCUGUUGACUGGCCAUCUCAGCAAGAGGGCCAGGGUACAGAGAGGGAUUUAUAUGAUGGAAAGAGGCUGCCACCGCGUACUUUCCCAGUCAAGCAGCUGCUACCAGCCGUCCCAGCAUGUGUCACAGAGAUGCGGCACUACUGGGACAAACCCUUCUCACUUAGGGUUCCUGUUAAAUGUUUUUUUCGGCUGAACGUUCAUAAUAUGGAAGACUUGGGGAUGUCCAACCCACCUCCAGUCGAAUUGUCGGUGGCAAGUCACCUCCACCCCAAUCGACGGGCAGCCCUAUCCUCCUCCUCUCCUUCUCUGCCAGUAAGGACAGAGAGGUUGUCUGCUUCUCUUUUUCAAAAAAUUUACUGCUCCUUUGCCCUGGCUGUCAGAGCCCUAAAUGCCACCUCACUGCUCACAGCAUACCAAGCUGAGCUCAUGGAGGAGAAGGGGAGGCAGAUUGAUGCUGGGUCACCUGAUUCAGCUUUGUGGGAAGAGAUCUGCGUCAUUGCAGAUCUCAACCUGCGGUCUUCAAGGGAAGCAGUCCAGAGCUGCAUGGGCCUGGCCGUGGUGGGUGAAAGAGCUCUGUGGUUGGGCCUGACGGGUUUAUCAGAAAGGGAGAAGGCAGAUUUCUUCGAUGCCCCAGUGGAGCCGAAAGCCCUUUUGGGACUGCAGUGACAAAUAUGUGUCAGCAGUGCGACUUGCGCAAGAAGGAUGGGGAAGUUUUUGAAACUUGCCUUCCCAGGAAGCCGACUGCUCGGCCACCCCAACCCAUGCGUCCAGGGUUUGCCCCCAGCAAUCAAUGCAGAGGGAGGUUCAUCCAAAACAGCCCCAGCCUA